RNAcentral lists this long non-coding RNA (42359 nucleotides) under Vitis vinifera (wine grape). Its description in RNAcentral is "long non-coding RNA (VVIN_LNC001392)". Lineage: Eukaryota; Viridiplantae; Streptophyta; Magnoliopsida; Vitales; Vitaceae. The record is from RNAcentral.
UAAGAAGUAAUAUGUACGUCUUGGCUUGCUUGUAAACCAUAAACAUCAAUGUGAUAGAUAAUUUGGCAAACCAUCAACGUGAAGCUUGCUCAAGGCCAUAAAGGGAUUUUUUAACUUUGCAAAUCAUAUUUUUGGUUCUAGAUUUCCUACAAACUUGGUGGAAGCUGCAUGUAUACCUCUUUAUCUAAGUCUUCAUAAAGAAAAACAUCGUUGAUGUCAAGUUGGUGAAGAUGUCAAAUUCUAAUUAUACAAUAAUUAGGGGUGACAAUGUGUCUUAUCGUGUUGAGGUGAGAAAUAGUGAAAAUUUACUUAAUCCGACUAUGACCCGUUUGAUAAUCGUGUCAAAAUAACCUAACAUGAAUACAAUUAGUUUAUUUCAUGUAACAUGACCCUUUUAACAUGUUUAAUAAAUAUAUUAACUUGGAUUAUGUAUUAAUUGACAUGAAUAACUCAUUAACUUGAUUUCAACCCCUUAAACUCAUUAACACAAUUCCAACCCAAUAAACUCGUUAAUAUGAUUUAACUCAUUAAACUUGUUAAUAGGAUUAUAACCUCUUUAACCUAUUUAAAAUUUUAAAUUUAUAAAUAAUAAAAUACUUCUAGAAAGUUUAAUUUUUAAAAUUUGAACUAUAAUACAUGUAUGCACCAAUUUCAUGAAGUCCUGAAAAAUUAGCAAAAUUAUAGAAAAAUAAUAUAAACAAAAAUUUGUAUUAAAAUUAAUAAGUAUGGGCUACAAUAUUAGUCAUAGUACUGCUUAUUUCUGAAUGACUUUAUUAAAAAGCGAAGAAUACAUGUGUAGUUCUUAUGUGAUUUCUUAAACUUGUAAGGCGAUUUUAUAAAGUUUUUUUUUUCUUUGUGAAACCUCUUUUUCUAUGUGAAAUUGUUUUGCCGAUUUGAAAUCUUCAUUAAAGGAAGUUACUAUUAUUUAUAAUUGAAAUUAGAGAAUGAAAUGUGGAAUCCCCAUGAUUUAGUUGCUUAAUUCAAGGAAUUUGAUUAAUUGAUUUUGGUAACUUGUCUCAUAAAAUUUUCUAACAAGAAUAUUUAUUUUUAAUCUCUUUUAUUUCAAUUGGAAUAUUUGUUUCCUUUGUAAAUUUGUCAAUAGAAUAUUUAUUUAUUUAUUUAAUUCUCUUUUGACUACAAUGAGAAGAUUUGAUUUUGUUUGUAAGACUAAAUUUUAUAACCUUUCAAAUUUGGCCAAGUGACACCUUUUGAAUAUAUGUCACAUGUCAAAUGUGUGUGACUCAUUAGUUGUUGAACCUAAAUUUUCUUGAAUUAGAAAGCUAUACUUUUGAAGACUAAUUUAGUGAUAAUUUAAUUCAUUAAAUUUUUUUGGUGUCUACAGUAUAUUUAUAAUAUGAAAAGUAAAUUAAAAUUUUAAUUUUUUUACUUGUUUAUUAUUUUAUUUAUUAUUUAAUGAUAAAUAUUUUUAUUCUUUAUUGAAAUAUAUAAAAUUUUAAUUAAUAUUUUAAUUUUUUUAAUUUCUAUAUAUAAAAUAUAUAGAUUUAUAUGGUCUAAUUGAGUCAUUAAAAUAAAUAGGGUAAAUAACUCACACAUAAGUGAUGGAUCAUUCUAACAUGAUUAAAUUAACAAGUUAGAUGAAUUGAGUAGUCAAAUACAAACAUGAUUUGUUUAUUAAAUAAGUUAUAUGAAUUGAUACGAUUAUGACAUCAACUCAAUUAAACUUAACUCAAAUAAGCUUUGUCUUUUAUUUUAAGUUGUCUAGUUGUUCACACAAAUUUUCUCAAAAUAAAGAAAUUAUAUAUAAAAUUGUAAAUUUGAUUAUUUGAGGGGACCAUUUUCAAUACUCUUUUUUAAGUAAUCUGGUGUUUAAUUUUGAAUCAAAGGGGCUUUCAUUAACAAAUAAUAGACUGUAGUUUUCAUAUAAGAAGAAAUCUCAAGCCUUUUUUUCUUGAAGGAAUCUUUAAAUUUUCUUUGAUACUUUAAAAAAUCAAUCUUCUUUGAUUUUUUAAGAAAUCUUUGAAUUUUCUUAAAGUCUUCAAAAAAAAAAAAAAAAAAAAAACUGAGUUUAAGGAAUUUUUUUAAUAACUCUCCAAAUUUCUUUGAUAUUCCAAAGUGUCCUUUAGAAGGGGACAAAUCCUCUAUUUACAGGAUUGAGAGUUUUAUUUUAAUAUUAUCUCUUAAUUUUUAAGAAAUAACUCUCUUAUUUAUGAUAAUUACUAUUUAUUUUAUUUAUCAUAAUUAGUUGCCUAUGAUAAUUAUCAUAAUUAAUUUUUCUAGAGAUAAAUAAUUAUAUAUAUUUAAUUAAUCAUGAUAACUAUAAUAUUUAUUUAAUUUUUUAUUAAAUUAUUUUACAUAACAUAUCAAUAUAUAUUAUUAGUCAAUUAUUAACACCGAAAAUUAAUGAGUUGGCAUAAAAUUUAUCUCUCUAUAAUAGUAUCAAAGCGAGCCUUAAUAAUAACAUUGCUUAUAGUCAAUUUCACAUGCCAACUUUUUACUGGGCAUUGGCGAUUUCAAUUUUGAUAGUCCGGUUAGAAAAAGUAGGUAAAGAUUAUUUGAUGUGGUAGGUCAUUUCUUUCAUAAAGACGAUGGCGGUGAAUUCAUGAGACAGGUGAUAAAGGAGAGAUUCUUUCUUUUGGCUUUGGAAUUUUAAUGAGGUCCUCGAUCCUCAUCCAAAAUACACCUCUCCAAUUAUAAAAAUCUUAUUAAAAAAAAAAAGAUUUGACAUGUGCCUUUCGAACUGCUGGUUUUCUGUUCCAAAAAUGAGAAUGGUUUCAAGUGGAUGAAGGAAGGUGAAGAACCCUUGGUUUUGUUAAGCGAAAAGCCACAUGAUUAAAUAAACAUAAGGCGGCAAAGGCUGAAAAUUUAAAAUUAUACUAAGGAACCCACCCCACAGGGCGACUACACUUUUGGUGAAGCCACGAGAAUGAAAGAUAUCGAAGGUGACACCAAGACAUUAAGCAGCACCAAGGUUUCGAUAUAUUAUAAGAUGGGAUCUUAUGAAAGACGAUCUCUAAUCUCUCUCCAAUCUCUUCUUUAACCUUUUCUUACUUAAAUCCAUUUCCAUGGUAGGGCACAUGUCCAGCUGACCCUACCCCCUCACCUACCUAUACUGCUAUACCCUUUUGUAUAAUUUGAUAUGGAUUGGAAGCCACCCCAACAUCUUUCUAAUUGCUCGUAAAUGUUGAGGUGCCUUUCCAUUUUGAGGCUGCCCUAAUGUGUGGCUGAAGUACGUAGGAAAAAAAAAUUGUGAUACAUGCACUGACGAAUCAAAUCCCAAUGUCAAAUUAUUAGACUCACCUGGUUCUUAAAUUAUUGUGAAUGCCGCUGGCCAUGGAUAAAUGGAAUUAGUGCGUGGCUUAAUGAAAAUUUAUUUUGAAAGGGAUAUUAAUUUGAGAGAAUUUUGGCUGAUACUUGGAGUUGAACGUAAGCAUAUAUGACCUCAUUUCGGGUGUGAUAUUGUGCUUAUAACGAACCUUUCGUUCUUUCCAAUUCCAGUGGGUAUUAAAUAAUUAAAGAAUUCAUGGUUCGAAGGCGAAAGGUAGAAGACCAAAAAGGGAUUACAAAGCCAUCGGCUUGACCAUCCAGAUGCAAUGGAUACAAACUUUGGACUCUAUCGAAAGUUCUUUGGGCACGUGCCCAAGUGUCCUACCCAUAUGAUAAGUUACACGUGGCUAAUUGCGGACCGGUUGCUCGUGCUAAACAGGGUACUUUUUCUACGCAUAUAAGAUGUUUCACUAGUGGGGCUUCACCAUGCAAACUCAUGGAUGAAGACCCUGAGGCCAAGAUGAAGGAACAGAAAGAAGGCGGAGGAGAGGUUCGGUAUCGAGGCGUUCGGAGGCGGCCAUGGGGGAAGUUUGCUGCGGAGAUACGUGACUCGACUAGGCAUGGAGCGCGCGUCUGGCUCGGGACUUUCAAUUCUGCGGAGGAGGCUGCAAGAGCAUAUGACCGAGCUGCUUAUGCCAUGAGGGGUUCCUUGGCGAUUCUCAACUUCCCUAAUGAGUAUCAUACACCCGGCACGGCUAGCUCUUCAGCUUCAUCCUCAAUGCCCGAAGGUGAUCAGCAGGGAAAACAAGUCAUUGAAUUGGAGUACUUGGAUGAUAAGCUGCUAGAGGAUCUUCUCGACUCUGAAGACAAAAAGAACAAGAAAACCUGAAGUUUCUGCUGCCUCGAAUCCCCUGAAAUCUAGUGCUUCAUCGAAAAAAAAUCCCCUCGCUCCUGAUUAACAACAUUUUUAUUUUAGUCAAUGAAUGUGUUCUCGGAUCAUUAUAAGUAUUUCUGCCGAAGUCCAUUGAUUUUUGGAGACUGAAAAAUGUCAGAAAAAUUGGUGCGAACAGGUUUACUCCUUUCUAAAUUAUGCAAUUGAAGUAUUUGGAUUAGUGCGCAGUGUAAACAUCAAGGAAAGCAUGAUCCACUAUUUUAAGGAGCCUAAGUGCUUUCCCCUUUACUCUUUUAGGAUGUCUUUUCAGUGAAGAAAGUUGGGAGACCACCACUUACCCUUUUGAUUGGUAUAUAACUGCCAACUAAUAACUGGACUAACAUUUGGCCCGUCUGGCCCUACUUCUUUGACUUUGUUGUUAAUUUAUAACUUUAUGUGAAGUGGGGGCUGUUUGGGAAUGUGUGAAGCAAGGAUUUGAGCCGACUUCGCCUAAUCUGAUUCUCCAUAAGUGACUUCAUUUUAUCAUAUUGGUGUUUUUUUUCUUCUUCUUUUUAAAUGGCUGGGGAGGAGGGGAUUUGGGAGGGAUGCAAUGCCAUGGUUGCAUGCUGGAUUAUCCUUCCAAAUGAAACAUCCAUUUGGUUUCUAGUAACUAAUUGCAAACAAUUAAAGAGAAUAAAAUUUUAAGAUGAUUAAACAAUAAGUACCUAUGUCCAUGAAAAGGAGAGAAGUUCACUCAUGGGUGUUCAUGAAAGACAUCACAAAGAACCAUCAAUAUGAGAAGAAUCCUGAUACAAUUAACUUUCAUGCAUAAGAAAAGACGCUCAAAAAAGAAUAAUGCUUACAAGGAAAGAAUCUCACUACGAUCAACUGAAAAAAUAUUCCAAUUUAAUUGGAAAUCCUUACAUGGGAAGAAUAUCAAUAAAAUCAACUAAAAAAAUAUUUUAAUUUUAUAUCAAAAUAUUUGUGAUUUAACCCGUAUCAUUUCAUCAUGACUUCUUAUAAAUUUUGUUCCUUUUUAUCAACACCACCCCUUGAGUUGGAGCAUAAAUAUUUAUUAAGCUAACUUGAACAAGAUCUUGAGAAAUUUUGUCGCAGGAUUUGUUUGCACUUUUUUUUUUCAAAUAAAGUCAUAAUUAACUUUAAUAUGUUUAAUCAUUUCAUGAAAUACUAGAUUUUAAGCAAUGUUGAUAGCAUACUUAUGCCUGAAAGCUUUAUCCCAAAUCACAUGAGUACAUGAAGUGAUUGCAUCAUUAAUGGUAGUAUUAUUACUUUAUAUUCAACUUCUCCACUUGAUAGGAUGCAUGAAAGCAUUGUGCUUUCUUCUGUUUCAAGUAAUAAAGAUUAUCACCAAGAAAGGUGCAAUUAAUACCUAGUAACAGAGUACCUAGUGGUAGCAUGCACCUAUCCACUGAACUUGUACUCGACUCUAUGAGUGUACGUUACAUAGUCCUUUUUUCGAAGUCUAAAUGUCCCUUGAUAAAACCUUCUAAUAUUUGAGGUUUUGGUAACAUUCAUGUAUCAAUGAACAAAUUAAUUUACUAGCUAAACUUUAAAAUUAGGCAAUGUUUUUCAAUGGGUGAUCAAGAUCUUGGAAUUUUCAAUGUUGUUUGAAUAGCUUCCACACACAAGCAUAUUUUCUCCUAUUUAGGAAUAAUCCCUUUUUUGAAGGUGUGAUCUUUAUGCUCAAAAAAUAAAGAUACUCAAAAAUUUAAUAUUGACCUUCUCGUGAAGGAAAAGCUUUAUAACUAAUUUUUUUUGUGCAUUAUAUAUAUCCUCAAUAUAGACUUUAAAAAAAAAAGAAGUAACUCCCUCUACAAAGAGUGAAGAGUCAAUUAAACUUUUUUUUUUUUAAAAAAAAGGAACCAAUUACUCGUAAAAGUAAUGAUUAUUUUUACAUACCAAACUUGAGGAGAUUACUUAAGAUCACAAAAGUUUUUAUUAAAUUGCAAGCUAGAUGCAUUUGAAACGAUCGUUGAUGUCUUAGCAACACCUUAUGUAACUCAUCAAUCUUUAUGUAAAAAUGCAUUUUUAACACCCAUAUAAAAUAAUGAUCAAUCCUAAUUUAAUAGAAACAAAUGGUAAUACAUGAAUAUCAUUCAUAUUAAUGAGAAAAGUAAAUAUUGAUUUAUAAUCAACUUCUUAAGUUUGUGUCAAUGCCUUAAUCAUUAGUUUAACUUUGUCAUUCAAUGAUACCAUCAUUACGACAUUUAAUUAACUUAGAUUUGCGUAAAUCCCUUAAUCACUAGUCUAGCUUUAUGUCAUUCAAUGGUACCAUCAUUAUGGUAUUUAAUUGAUCUUAUACCCCCAAUUUGUAUACCCCAUGUUUUUCUUAAUUUACCAUACAUCACUUAACAAUGUUCCAUGCAUGGAUUUUGUUAAGUGCCUUAAGUUCCUUUUGCAUAGCCUUUCUCCAAAUUGGAUGAGGAUUGGCUUCAUUAAUGUCAUUAGACUCAUGAUAUAUGGAACUCAAACAAUUGUUAAGUGAUUUUGUAUAUAUAUAAAAAAAAAAUUGUAAUUAAUGUGGUAGGCAUAAAAAUCUCACAAAUGAGGAUUGAUUAAUUGUUAUAAUUGAGCAACAUGCUUGAGGCUUAGUCACAAUACUAGAACUUGAAGUCAGACAUUCUCUUCAAAUAAGGACGUAUAUACAUUAUAUUGGAUCUCCAUUAAACAAGUAAAGAACUAUUUAGUAGACAAUGAAACCUCAUUGAUCAAUGGUGGUAGAGAGACACAUGAUGACCAGACUAUUCCCCUGGAAAUGAGAAUAAAAAAUAUCAUUAGCCGCAAAAAUCUCAAAAAAAUUUAGAUAAUGGGAUAUAAAGAGUUUAUGAAUUUUACAAUCAUAACUCUUAUACUGGUUUAAGUGGUAGAGUAAUCAAGAACACAAAACGAGUUUGAUGAGUGGUUGAGAUAUGAACAAAGCAAAGAUUUCCAAAGACACCAAAAUCAGAAAUCUCAAUUUUUGGGCUAAGGAUUUCAAGAAGAAAUUUAAAAUUAACUACAUGACUAGAAAAUUUGUUCAUCAAGGAAAUAGAAGUAACGAUAUCAUAACAUCAUAAUUAAUCAAUAUUUUUAAUAACAUGCAUUUGGAACAUGAUAUACCGGCUUUCUAAUAAUCAAUGAUUUUUGGUUCAACCACACCAUUUUGUUUUGGGAUGCCAAUACAACAAGUUUAACGAANNNNNNNNNNNNNNNNNNNNNNNNNNNNNNNNNNNNNNNNNNNNNNNNNNNNNNNNNNNNNNNNNNNNNNNNNNNNNNNNNNNNNNNNNNNNNNNNNNNNAUGUAAGUGCCAAAUUAGGUAGUGUCGACAAUGAAAUGGAAAUUUUGGAAUAUAGAAACAACCUCAUUUUUAUGUUCUAAUAAGUAAACCUAUGUAGCAUAAGAAUAGUCAUUAAAAAAAAAGGUAACAAAAUGUUGAUUUCCAUCCUAUGGAUCAAUUAGGACACAACCCCAAGGUAAACUAAUUUGAAAGUUGCAACAAAAAUGGAAAGAGAUGAAAAAAUAAUAGAGGAAUUUAAGGUUGUUUCAAAAUUUCAAGACAUGCUAAGAAACACAUGAGAUUAUAGAUGAUUAGGUAACAACCUUGGUUAAGUAUAUUCAACAUAUAUAUCCCACGAGGAUAAAUAUCUUCACUAAACUUUUCCUAUUAUUCAAUCCCCUAAUACCAUACAAGUGAAAAAUUAAUGUCACGGUCAAAAAUUUUAAUAAGCUUCCAAAGAGAUAAUAAUUUUGGGGAAAAAAACAACCUAAGAAACCUAUGAAUUGAGAUAAUUUAGGAAAAAACUAAAUGUUCGUUAGCUCUAGAAGGGAAUUGAAGCUCAUCAUCAAUAAAGAUUGUUGCUAUCUCGAAUAAUAUCAAGUAAACCAUUAAGAUCGCUAUUAAUGGUAUGAUUAGCAGCACCAAUUAUCGACAAAAAAAUUAUUAAAAAUAUAAGAAAUGAGAGCUUUAAGAUUAUCUAAUUGAUUUGUAAACCUAGGUAAGUGAAUCAGUAUUACGUUUUGUUAAGGAAGCUUAGAUCCAAUUGGUAUCAUUCACCAAGUUAUUGGAUUAAAUUACACUAUCAAACUUUGGCUUUAAAUGAGAAUGAAGAAUCUAACCACAAUCCUUAUUGGGAUUAGAUAUGUUAUUGCAAUAAUGUUUACAAUCGGAUGAGUGCUAAUUUCUAUUGAAAUCAUGAAGCAAUCUCUGAUCAUUGGUCUUCUUUGUAGAAACAUGAGCAUUGAAUUUAAAAUUAAUAAUUGUUACUUGGGAUUCAACCUUCAUAAUCAUUGCCUGGGUUUCCUAAUCACUUUCAAGAAUUACUUAUAUAGUGAAGGCACUCGAAACUAAUCAAAUUUGUCCUCUUAUAAAGUUGUCAUAUUCAAGCUUCAGAAUAGCCAAUAAUUGAAAAACUUAUCAUACUCCGCAAUUUGUUGAAGAAUAUUUGGGUCUAUUGAAGGGGACAAUAUAGGGAAUAUUUGUCCCAUAUGCUCAAAAUGUUCAAUUAACAAAGUGUUCUGUAUGUUUAGGGAUUUGUUAGCUUUAAUUACACAAAACAUUAGCAGUUUUAGAGAAAAUUAAUUUUUUUUUGCAAUCUUAGGUUCCAUGAAAUUAAAAAGCCAAUAACAAGUCAAUAUGGCUUGAGACCCAGUCAUCAUAUUCAAAGUCAUCCAACUUAGAAGCAUUCAUUUUGCCACUAACAUGUGCUAAUUUCCAUUUUCUAUCUUUCAAGAGAAAAAGACUGCUCUUAACCAUGGCAAAUAAUUGAACCCAUUAAGAAGAUUGAGGAAAGUAUCAUAUGAGGGUUGUCAUUUUCCUCCAUGACAAAGAAAAAGCAACAGAGAAAAACUCAUAAUAUUAGAAAGAGAAUGAAAGAAAUUGAGUCAUAGAUACACACAGAAGAAUCCAAAAAUAAAGCAAUAAUACAACCACAAAUAUGAGAAGAAGCUCAAUUACAAAGAAAGGAACUCAAUACAAUCAACUAAAAAGCGUUCCGAAGUUCAUACGAAAAUAUUCAUAAUGUGAAGAUCAUUUCAUGAUUCCUACAAUUUCUUCCUUCUACCAGUCCACUCCAUACAAGGUUUGAUCAACAACUUCUUCAUUGAUUUUCUGGUCUCUCUCCGGUGUAUCAUAGAGCAUUUUUGACAUGUUUCUGCAAGAUACACUUGUUAACUUUAAGCGACAUAAGUGCAAAAAAAUAAGAUCAUGUUGUAUUGCCUGUGCUUCCACUCUGCCUUGUUUAGUACUAUUAUGGAGCAGUACUUCCAUAUAGAACCAGUGAUCUCCAGUUCAUUAUGUUGCCUUCUUUAAACUAACUUUAAUUAUCUAUACAUAUAAAACAAAGUGGUCCCAUCAAGGGGCUAAAUCAAGAAUCAAGUGGGGCGAACAGGAAACAGUGGCAUCAAUUUUUAAGUCCAUAAGCUUUAAUAAAAGGAAUAAAACCAAGGAUAUGAAUAUGUUAUUUUUUCAUUUGUUCAUGCACUGGAAGAUCUUUCCUCUUCAAGCAUUGAACCAGCAUCCUUCUGUGCAAGUUGCUGUCGGAACCUUCUAUAAUUGUCAGAAGUCUGUUUCUGAAAUAUACAGAUAAAACUUUUAGCAAGUCUUGACAUUGCUCAUCACUAGGACAUUGUACUAGGAUACCAAUUCAUCUAAUUAGGGUUAAGUUGGCAUCUCGUACACUAUUUUUUAUUUUUCCUUCAUCUUUUGUUCCCAUUUGCAGUGGAAGUGGCACUUAGAAUAUCUGAUCAUGAAGAAUUAGCUUUCGGUGAGAUGAUACUAGGUCAAUUGCCAUUAUCUUUUUGAGUUACUGUGCGAGCAAUCUUGAAAAUAUUUUGGGAUAAAUAGAAUUUGUGCUUAUCAUAAACAUGCUAAACAUCCAAAUCAAGUGCUUUUACUAUUGAUAUCAAAUCAGUAAUUGAUUUUAACCUUUAUGCUUAUCUUUCAGAUUCUCAAUUAUGUAUCUUGAAUAAUGAUAUUAAGCAGAAAUCAUGAAUUGAAUUGCUUUAAUUAACUGUGCCUUAUCAAGCUUGUCAGCAGUGCUAUUGCUACCGCGAAUCAAAUUCGCUGUGCUUCCCGCCUUCUCCAAAUAAGCCACAAGCCCAAUUAUAUCCGCCCUCCUCCCAUCUCCAAGGGAUCAAAAAAUAAAAUGACUUCAAUCAAUUUUCAAGUUUUCCAUCUUGAUCAGUAGACCACCCGGCAUGAAUGUUACCCUCAGUUUAGGAAUAGGAAUUCCUUUUACUAAUCAUUUGGCACUAAAAACUAUGACCCCUAGCAAUUCAUUCCCUCCAUUAGAUAUCUGGGGGCAUCUUGGCUCAGCCAAAAAUGAUAAGUCAUUGCAUUUCACAUUGCAUUCAUUUGUAUUAAUGAGCUAAUUUUUUUUCACAGAAUGUGAUGUGAAUCGAAUUACUUCCAACCAUGUGUCUCUAUAAGGGUUUAACAAAUGUAAUUUGCAUUGUCUGUACACUUUUUUUUCGGUUUCUUUUCUUUUUUAUGCAUGAUUCAUUAGUCCACGGAUCUUCUAUGCAAAGUGUGCAGGCCAAACACCUCCUUCAAUGCAUUAUUCUAGAAGUUAAGACUCAGUUUACUCCUUAAUUGAUCUGUUCCAUUUACUUCAAAUCAUUUGAUUACAUUAAAUGAAUCUUGAAAUUCAAAAAUGCAUCAAAGUUAAAAGACCUUCCAAUGCAUUAAGAAAUCAUCUGAUACAAAUAUAUGUGAACCUGCAACAACAAUAAUGUCAAAAUGGAAAACUUAGGUAGAAAAUAUUAGAACGGAAACUUACGACGAACUCAAUUUUUGGCGCCUUUCUUCUUCUCAUCUUCUGAUCCAAGAAGCUCUUCCAACACCGUGUCAUCCAAACACUCGAACUCAAUGACUUGCUUUUCUUGCCCAGAAGAGGAACCUCCCAUCUCUAAACUCCUACAAGGCCCAGAAGAUGACGAGGAAGACGAUGAGGAUGGUGAUGGUGGGGGGCGAUGGGAGCCCAUGAUUUCAGAAUAGUACUCAUUAGGAAAGUUAAGAAUGGCAAGAUGACCCCUUAAGUUAAAGGCCGCUCGAUCAUAGGCGCGAGCUGCAUCCUCCGCCCUGUCAAAUGUGCCUAGCCAUAGACGAGCACCUUGCCUAGACGGAUCCCUAAUCUCGGCUGCAAACUUCCCCCAUGGCCUCCUCCUCACCCCUCGGUAUCGAACUUCUUCCUUUUCCUUCCCUUCCUGCUCCUGCUUCUCAUUCCCUUUCGAAUGAUCUUCCAUGCUAAACGUGUCGAUUUGCUAGGCGCAAUUUUUUUGGUUUCAAAUGUGCUGGUUUACGAGAGGCAUGGAUGCUUAUGUAUAUAUAUGGUUGCCACAGUCAGGUCUGACGUCACCGCUCAAUGUAUGUUCCACAGCGUGGGUUGACGAGCUUUCUGAGGGGGUUUCCUCGAAUUCAAAGCAAGUAUAAAAAUUCGAUUCUCCGACCUUUCCAAUGAGGAUCGAACAGGCCUUUUAUUAGAACCGUAUGAUAACUCCACACUGUUUUCAAAUAGUCAAUGUGAUCUAGAUUCUUCGUUAAUUUUUUCCACCUGACUGAUUGUUUACAAUUUUAUUUUUCACCGUCCCAAAUUUAAACCAUUUACGCGAUUCCCUGGAUUGCAUUUUUCUUUAAUGUUGACUUUACGAGGCAAUAGGACCCCCCAGCAACCCCACUAGGGCGACUUCAUGGGAACCAGAUUACUUUUGGAUCCAGAUAUGGUCCAGAAGAAAUAAGACAAAUCAAUUAAUGUCCACUAAAGUUUUGAUGGAACCCUUAGUCCGUGUUUCCUGUGGAUGUAUGUAUUGUAUGCACCUCAAUUUUCACCAAUCCCUGCUACGAGUCCCUUUAAUUUUGACGUUAUAAAUGUUUUUCCUGACAUUAGCAGAGUGUUUUUCUGCCGUCUUUGAGGACCUUCCACGGCCCAUAAACUAAUAAGGAUCGUCCAGUGAAUUUAGUCUUCCCCAGUUAAUUAUCCUGCGAGGGAAACUUGGGCAGUAAGUUGCCUACAUGAGUGGCUCCCGCCUACAUGAGUCAAGGGACCAUACGUCAGGACGACAACCAGUGUGGUCACACCAAAGUGGGUUGCCUGGACUCCAGGGUGGUCGCUUCAAAGUUGUCAAAUGAAGGCUAGCUUGGCAAGUUUUGGAAAACAAUUAUUGAAAAACAUUUUUCAUGAAUAACAGUUUCUAUGAACAGAUUUUAAGAAAGUUUAUUUUGUGAUUUUUAGGAAUAUUUUUAAUUUAAAUUUUUAUAUUUUUAAUUUUUUAUUAAUUUAUUGAUUAUUUAAUAUUAGCUUAAUUAAUGGAUUUUUCUUGGUCCCAAAUUAUUAAUUUAUCAAGAUUUAAUCGCAUCCAUAAUUAGUCUAAUUUCUUUUGGAGUGAGUGUGACAAAGUGCAAAUUUCUAGAGUUUUAUUAAUGUUAUUCAAUGUCAUAAUUUAACUAAUUAUAUUAAUUAUUUAUUAAUCAAAAUAAAUCAUUCACUUGAAAUAUGAUAAUUUAAAUUAAAAGUUUCAAUUAUUUAUUAAUUAGCAAAGUAUGAACUUUUCUUCUUGUUUUAUUAUUGUUAUUCCAUGUAUAUAAUUUAAUUAACUGUUUCCAAUAUUAAUCAAUAAAAAUAGAAUAUAAGCAUGAGAAGAAUUAGUAAAAUUCAUUGAUUUGGAAUUAGAUAGCUAGAGGAAGAACUUCAUCAUCUUCCCAUUACUUAAAUUUGUAUAAAUUCUAAAUAUUUAAACCCCCCCCCCCCCCCCCCCCCCCAAAAAAAAAAAAAAUGGUAAAGAAAGACUCCCCAAGCUUUCUUGGUUGGUGUUACCCUAAAAUUUGUACAAUAAGAUGAACCAUUUGGCUUAAAGCUUGGUGCGAAACCCCUUAUCAAUUGAAAAUAUCAAUGAAGUUGUUGAAUGGUUUUAGAGGACUAUUCUUAUGCAGAGUGGCAUAAGAAGCGAGGAGAUGAAGAGCGGAGAGACGUUAACAUCGGAUGCUGCUACGAAGGUGGGAAUACGGUUAAUUAAUUAGAUUUUGUGAUGGCUUUGAGUUUGAAGGAGUUAGUUUAAUGGGUAUUAUUAGUGAACUGAUAAUUGGAUUUGAUGUAAAGAAGGUUGGUCCAUUGGAUUAGCAAUUGGUUUGGCCUUUUGGGGGCCCCAUUUCCAAAUGCAUUGCCUUUUACAAGCAUUCAACAUCGCUGGACGUAACCAGGCUUGGUUCACCUAAAAGUAUCGCAUGGAUUGAAUUGACUAAGUUUUCAUUGUAGACUAGCCUUGAUUUUCCCUUGACCUGCCCACCAAAUCCUGAUGCCCACGCGAGGGAAUACCUCAAUUUUCUAAUAAUUUAUGCAGUUUCUCUUCAAAGCUCGUGUGAUCACUUGGGUCGGUAAAAUAAUGCAUUCCUCUACUUUUUCUCCCUUCCUAGAUGCAUGUUAUACCAUUAAUUCAAAUGUGAACAUGGGCUUGGCUUUGAAACUUGGUUCAAGGCCCAACAUGUUGACCCACAAUUGAGGUGUAAUUGAAUUUGUACACUUUUCGACUUUGAUACCAUUUGUCAUUACCAUUGACAUUGGGUCAUUGUUGAUUUUGAGUCCACAACUUUUAAGGUUGUUAUUACAAUUUUAAAUUGCGCCCACCCAAUUUAUAUGCAUUAUCCCUUAUAAAUACCGAUAACCUCUCUUUCUUCGAUAAUAUAAAAUGUCACAUAUAUUAUAUAUCUCAAUGUUUUCUUUUACUUUUUUUUUUUUUAUCGAUCGACAUUCUCUCUCAGAUGAUAUGAGAUGUCACAUAUAUUAUAUGUUUCAAUGUUUCUUUUACUUUUUCUCUUUUUCCUCAUGAUUGACAUUGUCUUUCUCAAAUGAUAUGAGUUGUCACAUAUAUUUUAUGUCUCAAUGUUUUCUUUAACUUUUUUUCUCUCUUCUUUAAUGAUCGACGUUCCUUUUCUCAGAUGAUAUGAAAUGUCAUAUAUAUUAUAUGGCUUAAUGUUUUCUUUUACUUAUUCUUUCUUUAUUAAUAAUCGACAUUUUAAGCAAUAUGUGAAUAUAAAGCAUUAAAAUUAUCUCCAUCGUUUUUGGAUGUGGUAUAAAUACACAAUUCUUAUUUUUGUUUUAAAUAUUUCUAUUGCUAUCUAUUGAAAUUUUAUGCAUGAAGCUACCAAGUUAAUUAUACAUAUAUCUUAAGAUUUUUUUUUUUUUUUUUUAUAGGAUAUAUUGUCCAUGAAUAUUUUCUGCAAUGGUAUCUUGUUUGAUUACUAUAAGAAAUAAUAUAUAUAUAUAUAUAUAUAUAUAUAUAUAUAUAUAUAUAUAUAUAUAUAUAUAUUAUAUUUCAAUGUUUCAUAUUUGCUUAAAAUAAAAAUUAUAUUUUAUCACAAUAUUUGGUAUUAAAAAAAAUGAAAUCUCUCUCAUUUAUUAUUACAAAAAAAUUAUAAUUUAUAAUUUUCUAAAUAAGUUUUAUUUAUUUGCUAACUAUAUUCAUGAUUAAAAGAUUUAAAAUUUAUAAAUAAAAAAUAUUAUGUCAUGUCAUUAAAUAAAUAAAAAUAUAUGUAUAUAUUAAAAUUAUGUUUUAUUGUAGCUUUUAAUAUUUUUUUUUUUAUUCUUUUCUUUUUUGAACUACAAUUUUAAUUUUUUUUAAUCAAAAUUUUUUAAUUUACAAAACGAGUAACAUAAAACUUGCCUUUGAACUUUAUUGGAAUGUUAUAUACUACCAUUUGGCUUUCAAGACAUUAGAAAAGGCAUAAGUGUCCCUUUUAUUUUUCCGAAAGGCAUAUUAGACUAUAGUAGGAAGUGUUGUAUAGAGGCAACUAAAAGUUGCCUUUAACUUUAUGAAGUCAUAUACUCCUCUUUGGCUUUGAUGACAUCAACUAGCAAAUUGGAUUUUGUUUCCUUUGCAACAUUUUUCCAUCCAUUAGCCAGUUUUUUUAUACUGUUUGGUGCUUGCCAACAUGGCACACACUAUGGUUCUUAAAAAGUAUUUUUUUUUUUAAGAUACUACGAAAUAAAAUACACGAUUGAAAGAUGAGUCACAAUAAUUUUCAAAACUAAAUUUUUUAAUAUUGUUAAGAAAAUUUGACCACCAAAUGAUUGAUUUUAAAUUACAAAUACUUUUGUUAGCUAAGAAAUUUGUUGUUCUAUUUGUUUCCCUAUAAAUAUGACAACAAUCAUAAAUAUUUUCAUUUUAAGAUAAUUUUCAAAUAUCUUCCAUUAAUAAUAUAAUAGAAUUAGGAAUUUUUUUUUUAGUUAUAACAAUCUAUAAUUAUUUAAGAGUCUUCCUCAAUCUCUAGGUUUAAGAACUUAUUGUUCUUAACAACUAACAUGUCAUCUCUUAAAAUAAUACAUUCUGCAAUAAUUAUUGAAAUAUGAUAUAAUAUAUAUAUCUACUUACAACCAUUUUUGUAGUACCAUUAGAAUUUUUAAUUACCCAUUCUAAAGUAUUUUUAUUCUCUAUUCUUAAACCAUCAAAAUUUAAUUUAAAUCUUUCAUUAAUUGGAUAAAUCCAAUGAAUCUAACAAGUUAAAGGAUUAUGAAUCCGACAAAACAGUUGAUAAUAAAUUAAUAAUGCCAUUAAUAUGAUUUUAAUGUGAAACACAAUUAUCACAUUUAAUACAGUUAGUCCUUGUAUGAUUAAUGUUUUGGAAGCUAAAAUCAAUCUUUUGACUAUAAUAAGAGUUUCUACUAUUUCUAUUUUUGGAUGAUUUUAUAUUUUUCUUAUUGUUUUAGUUUAAUACAAAAAAUAAAAAUAAAAUUACAUUAGUAGAAUUUUUUUAACUUACUCAAAAACCUAUUUUAGUUGAAUGAUUUUUUUAAAAAAAAUAUAAAUAUUUUGUUAAAAGGGAUAAAAUAACCUUACCUUGUGAAAAAGACCUCUUCACCCAAGAUUACUUGUUCAUAAUCCUUUUAAGACGAAAAUGCCCCCUUCCUAAAAAAUAUUUCAUCUUAAACUUAUUUUUCUUUUUAUUGCCCUUUGUUCCAUCCUUCCGGCUUGGGAGAGAAAUUCAUUCUUCUUUUGCGAAGAAAAAUUCCUAUUGCGAUUUUUCAUUUCAAGUGGAAAAAAAAAUUCUUAUUUCAUUUUAAAGAAAUUGUACAUUUUCAAUCUUUCUCUUUGUUCCUAGUUGAGGGUUUUUUUUGUAAUUUUAUCUUAACACUACAAAUUUAAAGGUGAGAUUAAAUCUUAAUGGUUAUUAGUUAAAUCACAUAUCUAACUUUGUUUUUGUCAGGACCUAUAAUAUGAUUGGAACCACCAUCCAAACUUCAUUAGGUGGGAUACUCCCCACCCUCCCCCUCCCCCCGCGAAAUCCUUGGAUUUUAGUUUUGACUUGGAUUUCAAUUGCCCGUAUCAAUUUUUCUUUAUUUAUUAAUUUAUUAAUUUUCAACUUUAACAAAAGCCUUGAAUCAUAUUUAAAUUCAAAUAACUUAAUCCUAAUUAAGUUCUUUUUAAAUAAAAAUUAAUCAUUGAAAAGUUCAUGUGACUAUUAUAAUUGAGAAUUUAUCCCAAGUUGGGUUUUUUGCAAAUAAAAUUUUAUUAUAGGACAUCAUGAUGCAACAUAACAUAAGGUUGUUACUUAAGUUUGUUUUGACCUUGUAAUAUGUUAAAAUGAAAAUGAAGCCAUUGUAACAGGAGAGAAUGAUGAAGCUGUGGAGAGAGCUUAACAAAGCUUGGGUUGGAGAGACUUCACAGGAAGAGAGAGAGAGAAAUAAAGGGUAAAAUUAUCAAAAGAGAAAAGAAAAAAAAAAAAAAAAAAGAAGGUUAUGUCUUCAAAUAAUCAAUAAGAGAUGUCAUUUUUCUAAUUUUCAAAGUUCUUUUGGUCCUUCUCUACAAAUAUCCCUAUAAAAAUAUUAUAAUAUCAAGUUAAUUUGUCAAUACCAAAAUUUAUAUUUUAUAUUAGGGCGACUAAAUAACAUAUAGAAAGAAUUUUAAAUGAGUAAAUCAAAUCAAUUUUGAAACCAAAACUUAAUAAUUACCAAACUUGUAAUCUUAGUCAUUAAAAGUGUACGAUGAAAUCUAAAUUAUUAAGCAAUGAAACAAAAAAUUAAGAUUAAAAUACAAAACGUUAAAAUCAAGAUACAAACUAUUAAAAUGUAAGUGGGAUAUGAGAUGAUAUUAUAAAAAAUAGUGUGAUCCAACAAAAAGUCUAGUACAUCAUUAUCUUCACUUCCAACCAUGUUUAAAAGGUCACAAGUUCUAGCGGUUUCCAAGGACAAUGUUAAAAAUAAUAAAAAUAAAUCCAAUUAAAUAUUAAUUAAUUUAUUUGAAUUUGAGUCCGACAAAAUAGUUGGUAAUAAGUUAAUAAUGCCAUUAAUAUGAUUUUAAUGUGAAACACAAUUAUCACAUUUAAUACCCGUUAGUCCUUGUAUGAUUAACUUUUUAGAAAUUAAUAUCAAUCUUUUGAUUAUAAUAAGAGUUUCUACUAUUUAUAUUUUUGGAUGAUUUUAUAUUUUUCUUAUUGUUUUAGUUUAAUACAAAAAAAUAAAAAUAAAAUUACAUUAGUAGAAUUUUUUUUAACUUAUUCAAAAAACCUAUUGUAAGGUGAAUGGUUUUUUUAUUUUUUUUUUAAAUAUAAAUAUUUUCUUAAAAGGGAUAAAAUAACCUUACCUUGUGAAAAAAGGCCUCUUCACCCAAAUUUACUUGUGCAUAAUCCUUUUCAGACGAAAAUGCCCCCUUCCUAAAAAAUAUUUCAUCUUAAACUUAUUUUUCAUUUUUAUAACCCUUUGUUCCAUCCUUAUGAUUUGGGAGAGGAAGUCAUUCUUCUCUUGUGAAGAAAAAAUUCCUACUGCCAUUUUUCAUUUCAAGUGAAGAAAAAUAUUUAUAUUUCAUUUUAAACAAAUUGUACAUUUUCAAUCUCUCUUUGUUCCUAGUUGAGGUUUUUUUUUUUUUUUUUUUUUUUUGUAAUUUUAUCUUAAUUGUACAAAUUCGAAGAUGAGAUUAAAUCUAUAAUGGUUAUUGGUUAAAUCACUUAUCUAACUUUGUUCUUGACAGAUCGUAUAAUAUGAUUGGAACCACCAUCCUAACUUUAUUAGGUGGGAUCCCUUUUUUUUUUUCCCCAAACCCUUGGAUUUUAGUUUUGACUUAUAUUUCAAUUGUCUGUAUCACUUUUUCUUUAUUUAUUAAUUUUCAACAAGUUCUUUAACAAAAGCCUUGAAUCAUAUUUAAAUUCAAAUAACUUAAUCCCCAUUAAGUUCUUUUUAAAUGAAACUUAAUCAUGUGAAAGUUCAUGUGACUAUUAUAAUUGAGAAUUUAUUCUUAGUUGGGUUUUUUGUAAAUAAAAUUUAGUUAUAGGACUGUGAUGAUCCGUUCUCAACCGUAUAAAUAUUGUUCGUUUUGAAUUCAAAAUAACUUUUACGGCUUUAAAACAUGUUUACAAGAUUAAGAGGAGUCCAUAUUUAUAUAGCUUCACGAACUUUCCCCCCUAUUCGAUGUGGGAUGUCACAAGGACAUCAUGAUGCAACGUAUAACAUAAGAUUGUUUCUUAAGUUUGUCUAACCUUGUAAUGUGUUAAAAUGAAGAUGAAGCCAUUAUAACAGAAGAGAAUGAUGAAGUUGUAGAGAGAGCUUAACAAAGCUUGGGUUGGAGAGACUUCAUAGGAAGAGAGAGAGAGAGAGAGAGAGAAAUAAAGGGUAAAAUUAUCAAAAAAGAAAAAAGAAAAAAAAGAGGGUGAUGUCUCCAAAUAAUCAAUAAGAGAUGUCAUUUUUCUAAUUUCAAAGUUCUUCUGGCCCUUCUCUACAAAUAUCCCUAUAAAAACAUUAUAAUAUCAAGUUAAUUUGUUGAUACCAAAAUUUAUAUAUUAUAUUAGGAUGACUAAAUAACAUAUAGAAAGAAUUUUAAAUGAGUAAAUCAAAUCAAUUUUGAAAUCAAAACUUAAUACCUACCAAACUUGUAAUCUUAGUCAUUUAAAGUGUUCCAUGAAAUCUAAAUUAUUAAGCAGUGAAACAAAAAAUAUAAGAUUAAAAUACAAAACGUUGAAAUCAAGAUUCAAACUAUUAAAACGUAAGUGGAGACGUAAGAUGAUGUCAUAAAAAAUAGUGGGAUCCAACAAAAAGUCUAUUAAUCAUUAUCUUCACUUCCAAUCAUGUUUAAAAGGUCACAAGUUCUAGCGGCUUUCAAGGACGAUGUUAAAAAUAAUAAAAAUAAAUCCAAUUAAAUAUUAAUUAAUUUAUUUGAACAAUAGAUAGGACCAAAAUAAUAUUCUAAAAGGAAUCAUAGGGAAGUCCUUGGACAACCUACGACAUUGAACAAAGGUACAGUGAGACAAUGCACUUAGCCCUUCCUUGUCAUUGCGAUGAAUAUAAAAAGACACCCUGAUUGAGGGUGCCCCACUAAGCCAAGAGUGAUUCUUUUGUAUUGUAUAACGUGAAUAUUUUUGAACUUUGAAUGACCCUUCCUAUAGUCAUCAUUGUCAAAACUAGAAAAUCAGAAAGAUGCGAUGUACGAAGGCACCAUUGAAUAAGAGGCUUAAUUCUCUUUGGCAAUUAGGAUAAAGUUUCAAAAUAGAAAAAUUAAACAAAUGUACAGUGUACGGACACUUGGGCAUUGCCUAUUUGUUUUGUUCUUCUAGAGUUGUAUAUGGUAAAGGUCAUAUUGGGUUGGUUCUAUUUGGUUAUUGAAGUCGGCUAGAAUAUUAGAUUUGGUUUCAAUCUAAUCCCAUAUGAUAUUAGAAUACCAGCCCAUACAGAAUUUUUGACCAAAUAUAAUAUUUCUUUUAAAUAUAAAUAUAGUAAUUAAUUUUAGUCUAAGAUUAAUUAUGUAGUUUCCUAAAGAGACCACUUCCUAAACGGUAGCUAUGUGGAAGUUGGGCCAGGUCCUGCCGAGAAGGUUUCCACGAGCUGAGCCCAAAACUGAGUAGCUGUGAUGGGAUCAUUCUAGCAUUCAGCCUGAAACUUGUAACAUAACGGAUCGAGAGGCCUGAACUCCAAGACCAUGGUUCGUCAGCCCAUUAACUUCAACAGCACGCAUUUUAGAGGACUGGGCUUGCAAGGGGUGAGGUUUCCGGGCCGCGACCCCAAAUAUGAACAGCCUCAGAAGUGAUAUUGCUUACUGGCACGUGAAGAGCGCAAGCGUAACUAGAAGAUUUGUAAUGCCGCUUUAAUUGUUUGAUUAUAGAAUCCCACGCAUUACGCAUGGAAAGUGUAAAAGAUAAAAGAUGUAGAAUUUUUUCUUAGAGAAAAGUUCGUUUGGAUAUAGUUAUUGUUUUUUUUUUAAAUAAUAAUUGUUUUUUUUAUAAAUUAUAGAUAAUCUUAGAAAUUUAUCUUUAAAAAAAUAGUUUUUAAAAAUAUUUAAGGAGAAUAAAAGUGAUAAAAAAAAACUUUACAAUUUCAAAUUUUUAAAAAAUGAAAAUUAUUUUUAAGAAUAUAAGUUAAUCUCCUGCAUUUAAAUCUUAGGUGGUUUUUGUUUUUUUUACUUUUCGCUGAAAACAAUUUGUUUUCAAAAUUUAGGUCAUUUGUUUUUUCUAUUUUUUCAUGAUUUAUUAUAAAUUUUUUACUAAAUAAAAAAAAUCAAAAUAUGUAACUUUUUCUAAAUAAAAAAAAUAACGUAUUGAUUUUUCUUUACUUUUUAAUACUUAAUAGAUAUAAAAUACUACAAAAACAAAAAAUCUAAUAUUUAACACUAUUAAGCAUUAAAGUUCUAUUUAGAAUUAAGUAAAAAAACAAACACCACCUUAUAUUUUAUAUAAAAGUUACUUAUAUUUUGGUUUUUGGAAAUAAAAAAUAUAAAGCAUAUCCAAACAUGAGCUUAGCUAUUUUAAAUCAUAUCAAAAUAAUAAUCCCAAUAAGGUAAAUGGACUUUUAUACGGAGAAUAAUCUUUAAGGUUUUCAUUUUUAUUGGAUUUUUUUUUUGUGGUGUUUUUUCAAUCCAUCUUCUCAAUUAAUUCCUUAAAAUUAUUUUACUGUUUUUUUUUUUUUCAGUUUCUAAAUAUUUGAUUUUUCCAAAAUGCUUAAAUGGAAGACACUAAUUUUUCAAGAUAUUUGGUAUUACAAUUUUCCCUGUUCUCCCUAUUAUCUAUCAGAUUCAUGGCCCUUUUGUUUUUUCAUUGGUUUUCAAUUUAAUUUUCCAAAUAUUACAUUGUUGUGUUUUGAAUUUGUGAAACCAAUUUUAUAUAUAUAUAUAGUAUGUAAGUCUACUUUGGGUAACAUGUACAGAGAGGUUUUCAUGUGUUUGAAACCUUUUACCUCAAAAAUUAAUUAUUUUUAAUUUUAUAAUAAAUCUUUUUUUAUUUUUUAUUUUAUUUAGGAAAGCCUAUAUUUAAACUACAUGUUUGCAACGCAACACCAUACAUACUCCUAGUGGAACUUACCUUAGUGCUUGAGGGGGAUGCAGAUCUUCUUCUAAACCUAACUAAUAAGCAUAAAAUUGUUCACUAAUUAGCAUAUCUAGUAAAUCAUACAAAUUGGCAAUAUUUCAUGUUUUUCAUGUUUUGUCAAUAAAAGGCGUCUUGACCAUUUUGUGAGUUUUGUAAUAAAUAAAAAAAAAAAAAAAAAAAGGGCAAAAGGUGACUAAAAUGAGGCACUUUGGAAAGGUUAAUAACCUAAAAGGAAGAUGAAUUAAUACCCCCUUAUUCCUCUUCAAAAACCAUUGAGAAAAUGCAAGAAAUGCUCUUAGUUGUAUGCUAGGCUAACAGCCUAGCAACCAUAAUACCCUUCUUUGCAAUUGUAAGCAUUUUUUUUUUUUUUUUGAAGGCCAAACAACGUUGCAAACUUCCCAAAUCCCUUCUUUAUUUUUUAUUUUUUUAUUUUUGUUUUUAGAAGGAGAAUGAAUUUGAUGACAAACUCCUUGUCAAUCUUAUCCAAACCACGAUCGAACAGAACUCCUUGUCAAUCUUAUCCAAACCGUGUUCCACCUCAAAAACAUGUGUAGGACUUAAGGCAGCAACUGGCAAGCAUGACUGAUAGGGCCAAGUGCCCUUGUCUCUACAAUCCAUUAAGUUAACCAAGGGCAGUGAACCAUCAUUCUUUUCAAAAGCUUCAUUCCGUGUUGAAAAUGUGAGACUGAAGCAUGGUGCCCCCAAAAAUAACGAUCUAUUUACUAGCAGCAUGCCUGGACCCAUUAAAAAUACUCUACUUUAGGAAUAGAAAAAAUUACAUCUUUAUCCAAUAAUUUUAUAACAAUUCAGACGUUUCAGUCUAUAAAUAAUUGUACAUAGUUGCCAACGUUUAGCUAGUUUCAAAUGAAUAGCCUAGGUUCAUGCACCAGUUUGGCUGGUGGAGGAAAGGGAUUCGAGACAUUGAACCCUCUUUUUAGUGUGCCAAAUAUUCCACAAAAAUCACUACCUUCUCUUUGUGUUUGUUCACUUUUAGUUUAUAUUUAAUAAAUCUAUGUUUUCGAGUAGAGGUUGGGUUCAGGUGCGACCCACGUCACCUCUCGGACGGUCUUGAAAAAGGAGACCGGACCACGUAAUUUCAAAUGUAGUGACCAUCUCACUUUUACCUCCAUCCUUGAAGAUGGUUUCCCAAAUCAAUAUUAAUCUUUUGUUUACGACAAUAUCGAUCACUUUAUGUCUAUAUCGUUGUUAAUUUACCUUUUUUUUUUAGCCACAUUAUUUGAAAAUUGAUGCAAACUUUACCAACAUCUUGGUACCAUUUUAAAAUAUUAGAGUUAUUUGAUUAAAAAAAUAAAAUAAUCUCGAUAACUUGUUUAUAAAAUAAAUAUCUUUUAACAUUUAGACUAUUCUCACGCAUGCUUUAAAAUUGUAAAGAUAUUCAUAAAGUGGAACUUUAGACUUAAUCAAUAUCGAUCACUUUAUGUCUCUAUUGUUGUUAUAUUUUUUUUUUACAACAUUAUUUGAAAAUUGAUGCAAACUUUACCAACAUCCUAAUACCAUUUUAAAAUAUUAGAGUUAUUUGAUUAAAAAAAUAAAAUAAUCCCGACAACUUGUUUAUAAAAUAAAUAUCUUUUAAUAUUUAGACUAUUUUCACCAUGCUUUAAAAUCAUAAAGAUAUUUAUAUUCAUAAAGUGGAACUUUAGACUUAAACAUGAUAAUAGUUUUUUUACAAUAUUAUAAUUAUUUUAUCGUUUUAAUUAAGCCCUUUAUCAUACAUAUAAAUGUAAAUUAAUGCUAAAUUUUUAAAGCAACGUAUAACCUUUUACAUCUUUUUUUAAGAUGGUGCGAAAAUCCUAUGAAAAAUAAUAAAAGUCGAUGCAUAAGAAGAUUGUUUUGAUAAUUCAAUAGAAAAAUUCUUUUAAAAUGAUAUUAAAAAAUACCCAUAGAGCCUUUAUUAAAAAAAUCAAUUAUUUUCAUAAUAAAAAUUAUAAUUUUUUAUUAUGUAUUAUUAUUUUUAAGUAUCUUUAUUACAAAUACUUUUUUUGAGUUUAUGAGAGGAAUCAACAGGUUGGUACAAGCUUAGGCGUCCUCGUACAUGUUCCCGCUGUGCAAGGUUUUUGUCUUGUUUCGAGCUAGUCGGAAUUUACGUGUUUGAUAACGUUUUGUCCUAUUUUUGUAACGCUUUAAAGGGCGGCCCACCGUUGGAACAGUUCAAGCCAUCCAAAUCAGCCCGGAGGGUUAUGGCGACGUGGCAUGACGCCUACCACCUUAGUUCACAUGAACCCUAUGAUCGUACUACCCUCACAUGACAUCUGUGAUUCUUCACCUCCAAACCCUCUUUAACUUGGUAAUGUAUUCAAAGCUUCAUCAAAUCAUAGCGAUUAGCGACCCUCUUCCACCCUAAUUUUAUAAUAAAAAAUAAAUCUUAGUGGACAUUAAAGUAGUAUUUUGUGGGGGGAAAGAAAAACUCUAUGGGCGUAUCCACUAAAUACGAGCCAAGUAUAAGAGUUAUCACCAUGGAAUCAAAUUAUGAAGCAUUGACAUUUUAAUUGUAUUCAGAUUUGAGGAGGGCACCGCGGCACCAGCUGGCCCAGUGUAGUCUGCUAGCCUACCCGCCAUAAUGACCAAAUUAAUAAAGUAAAAAGGAUUACAGGGAUAUUCCCAACUUUAUUCUGGGUCUGAGCUGGAACUUGGGAGUUAUCACGAUCAACGGGAAAGAUGGUGGGUAGGGGACGAGGAUUGAGGGCUCCAUAUUCACAUCAGUGAAAAACGAAAUGUAUUGAGACAAGUCUUCUAAGGAUUUUCUAGCGUAUUAUAUGGUUUAAAUGAUUAUAAAUCUGUAGUUACUGGUAAAGAGUAGAGAGUGAAGACGAAAGACGUUGAGUGAAAAGGAAGGAGGAGAGGGGAUGGGGCCAUCUUACCGUGUCGGGGAGGAUCCAUAAAAGGACUACGUUCCCUGAAUCUGUAGGCAUCAUGCCUCGCCUAACGGGUUAGUCAAAAUACAGUGAUGUGUGUGAGUUGGGGGCCUCACUCCUCAUUUCUUUCCUUCUUUUCACCCCCACCCCCACUUUUUUUUUUUUUUUUUCGAAUUUUUCUUUGUCCUUUUCUCUCACUUGCGCACGCGGGAGAAGGACCACAAACUAGACAAUUCCUCUGCUCACGUGACCCCGAGUUUUUAAAUAUUUGCCUAUUUGGAAAAUAGUCAUGAAUCAUGAUCGUUAACAAACAAUCUUCACUUUAUUUAUUUAAGAUCUAUUUUUUGGAGCUCUAGUUUAGUUUAUUAUUAUUAUUAUUAUUAUUAUUAUUAUUAUUAUUAUUAUUUAGUAACUCCUCUUAUAUUAAUGAAAAAGAGAGGAGGAAUCCAAACUUGUUUAUUCUUCCUCUUUUAAGGUGUUUGUUUUUUUUAUUUUAUUUUUAUGCUUCAUAUGUCUUCAAUUUCUUAGCAUUUGUCUUAUAUUUCUUCUUAUCCGAUUCAUUAUUGCAUCCUUGGUCAAUCUUUCACGAGGAGUGCCUACUUUUUUCCUUUUUAUUAUUUAAUUCACUUUAUCUUUAUAUUUUCCUUUUACACUUUAUUUCCAAUUCAAAACGUGUCAAAAAAAAAAAUUGGUAACAAAAAAAAAAAAAAAAAUCAAUUGUAAUGAUUCUUAUAUAAUUUUAUUUAAUUUUUAUUAAACAAUAAAGAAAUUAAAAAUAUAUAAAUUUUUAAAUAAUUAUUAUAGUCUUUCAUUUUUGUGUAUAAUUUCUUUUGCAAGAAAUAGUGUAGGCUUUCCACGGUCUAAAGGAAAUGGAAUAUCAAAUGAGAAGGUAAUAAUAAUAAAGUGAGUUAUAGAUACUAAUCAAACUAAUCCACUAAUGAAUUAUUUAUUUUUAUUUCACAUGGACAAAUCCUAAAAGUUGGAGUUCUAAUUUACUUUUAUGUUAAGCUUUUUUAAGUAAAAAUCUUUUAUUAUUAUAAUUUAUAGACAAAAAGAAACCCAUUAAUGUGAUGGAUAAAAAAUUUCAAUUUAAAAAAAAAAAAAUUAAAGUUGCUAAAUUUUUGUAUUUAUUAUUUCAAACUCAUUUAAAUAAUUUAAAAAUAUGUCUUCAAUUAAUUUUAAUGAAACAAAGCAUGAUUUUUUUUUAAUUUUUUUUUCUUUACCAAAUAAAGCAUUAUUAUAAUACGUUGAUUAAAUUUUCAUCAUGUCUCUCAAGAUUUGGAUUAAAUAUACUUAGUUGUCAUAAAUUUGAAAUUUUAUUUAAUGUAUUUUUUAUUUUAAAUUAAAAAGAUGAAUGCAAAUAAAAAAAAUAUGUAUAUUUUAUAAAAUUUUAAAUUAAACGAAGGAUACGUGUAUUUAACCAAGGUGAAUGAAAUUAAUCCAAAUACUUUUUGGUAACUUGCAAAAUAUCUUGACGAAAUCAUUAUGGCAGGCAUCGUACAAGCUCAACCCUUGUCGCCUUGCUAGAAAUAGAGAAACAAAAAGACCCCCAAAUUGGGUUGCAUCCUAAAUAUGAAGAAGUGGUAACAAAGGAAGAAAAAAUGCUGUGUUAUUGAAUAGUUAAUACAUUGAACAUGAUAUGUUACAUAGAGAGCCAGAUUAAUCCUAGUGGAAUUCCACUGUCACGAUGGUAACCUAGGGUUAUGUUUGGUUAUUGAAAAUACCAAGAAAAGAAAAAAAAAUAUAAAGGAAAAUAAUUUUUUCAUUUUUGAUUGUCUUAUAAAAGAUAUAAAAAAAAAACAAAUAUAAUUAAAACUAAUUAAAAAUUUAGGUAUUUUUAAAUUAUUUAAUUUUUAUAUUAAUGAGCGAAAAUAAAUAAAAUAAGUUUAAAAUAACAAAAAAAAUAAUUUACCGAUUUUUAAUCUAUAUUUUAUUUUACUUUUUCUUUGUAUUUUUUUUUUCUUAUAUUUUCCCUCAAAUUUUCUGAAUCAAACAUAGCAAAAAAGGAGCUACCCCUUUCGAAAGAAACUCCCAAGAAUUUCAAAGAAACCUGCUGAGAUAAUGAAUGAGGGAUCACUGUCGGUAAACAGUAUCCAUUCUUUUGGGAGGACUUUCAAACUGAGAAGUUGUUUUCAUGACUUGGAAACAAAAUUUUGAGCUCUAAGGGGGUCUGUAUUUGGGCCCUAAAAUUCAAUCCAUCAAUCUGAAAAAUGCUUAGGAUAAUGAUUUGAUUUAGCCACAAUCACUAAACAAAUUCCAGAGGAAAAUUUCGCUACUCAUAGGUGGCUGAUUCUCAUAAAAAGACAUCGUGGUAGGGUGUCUCAAGUGCAGGCUCACCAUCAACUUGCUGCCCUUUUUAGAUUAUUGUAAAAUGAUUUCACAUGAAGCCCAAUGCAAAACUUUGAAAGAAAAGGUUGGUGGAGACGUGAAGAAUAUGUAACCCAUAGGCCAUAACUAGUACCGAAGAUUAUUGAACAAACAUUCAAGGUUUUUGUAUAGACGAAACUGAAAAGAAUGUGUACCAGACUCAGGCGUUCAGAUCAGAUGAUGCCGUAAUGUGGAUUGUGGAGGAGCAUUGUGCAGACAGAUAAUGAGAUUCUGAAAGCGAGGCCACUGAUGGGCCCUUGGAAGGGGGGCGUGCCUUCAAAAUUAUAUAUAUAUAUAUAUAUAUGUCAUUGAAAAUUGGAAGCAACUUUUCUUCUUAAGUUAUUUUAAUCGAAGAAGAAACAAAAAGUUAAAAACAUACAUUAUUCUUCCUUCUUACGAGGUUUCCGGGUCUAAAUUACUAUGGUCUCUGCAACUGGCGUCGUUUUCUCUCCCCUCUCUCUAUUUUCCCUUUAUUUUUUCACUUUUAGAAAGAAGCAUCCCAUCAAGAAUCUACUACAACCCUACGCUUCCAUUUUGAUUUAGAAAGUUAAAAAUAAGUUUAAGUUAAAAAAAAAUAUUUUCUUAUAUAAUUAUUUAAACUUAUUUCUUUUCCUUUUUAUAUAAAGAAACAAAUAUUUUGCAAAUAAAUAAAUUUCUAAUUAUUUUCAUUAACAUAAUAAUAAUAUUUUUCAUAUGACUUUAAUCACAAUUUUUUUUACCACUUGUCCAAGGCGGUGAGAGGUGAUAAAAUGUAUUAAAAAAACGAUUAAAUUGCAUUAGGUAUAGAAGUUUUGUGCUUCAAUUAUCACUUAUAAAAAUAAAAUAAAAAUAGUCAAAUUUGAGUGUGCAAGUUGGUAUUCGUAUGUAGAAGGAAUUGGGGGAUUUGGGGGUCCUAACAAAUUUGAUAUGAUUGAUGGAAGGAAAUGAUUAUUAUAGGAUAAAGUCCGAAUGAAACGCUGACGAGGGGGGAAAAACAACAGUGGCAAUGCACUAUCCACAGAUCCAUGAUUGAUUUAUGUUAGCAAUAAUGAAUUAUUUUGACUUUGAUAACCUUGGUUAAGAGAAUUUGGUCUUGUUAUUAUCAUUUUUUCAAAAAAAAAAAGUGUAGGUAACUAGGUAGUUGAUUUAUUAGAAUUUAGAAAUGAGGAUCCCCUCCUCCUGCAAGAGCCGUGACAGACAUGCCUGCUUUCUUGCCAGAUUAUACCAAUGUGCCCAAAUAAUCCCCCAUCUAUCAUCUCUGCACCCUGGAACACGUCACUCCCUCCUUUGAGCAAUAAAAUAUCUCUUUUAUUUUCUUUUGAACCACUCUUCUAUUUCUUUGUACCAGACUGGACCCAUUUAAAUUCUUCGCUACGCUGUUCCCAAGGACUACGAGAAUCAAAAUAGCAAAAUUCUUGAAUCAUUUUAAUGGGUUCAGAAACCACAUGUUUCUCUAGAUCAUAAGAGGAAAAUCUUUUUGGAUGGUGUUUGUGUUGUGUUGUGUUCAAUAUUAAAUACUCAAUUAAAUAAGCUAAAUCAAAUAUCACAUGAAAAAUAAUCAAAUUAAAAAUAGGGAGAAUUAUGUUUUGAGGGUAGAUGGACCCCAAAUUAACAAAAGGUUCAUGUAACUCUUCAAAUUGAGCCCAGACCCAAUGAAAAUAUGGAAAUUGAGUUGAAGUAUAUCAUCAUUCAGUAUUUCCAAAAAUGUCCUUUGUUGAUUUUGAGAAAAAAAUUAAUAUUUUUGAAAAAUAUUUUUAUGUAAUUUAAUAUUUUUUUAAAUACUUUUAUUUAAUUUAAUAUUUUUAAAAAAUAAAUUUAUUUAAUUUAAUAUUUUAAAAAAUAUUUAAUUUAAUAUAUUUUUUAAAUACUUUAAUUUAAUUUAAUAUUUUUGAAAAAAAUUUUAAUUUAAUAUUUUUGAAAAAAAAAUUAUUUAAUUUAAUAUUUUUUAAAACUAUUUUUAUUUAAUUUAGUAUUUUUGAAAAAAAAUUAUUUAACUUAAUUUUAUAAAAUAUUUUAUAUGUGUUCUUAAAGGGUAUAUUUGUCCGUUACUAUUUCAUAUCCUUCAACUCAAUUUAAAGAGUUAUAUGGACCUUUUGUUAAUUUGGGGACCCAUCUACCCUCAAAAGAUAAUUCUCCCUUAAAAAUAUAAAUUUAAAUAUGACAUAAUUAUUAAAUAUGUUAGAUCUUGUAUGAGUUUAUAAGAUUUAUGUUUCAAAAUAACAUGUUUAUAAUUCAUCUAUUGAUUUAUAAUCAAAUUUUAAAUAAAUUAAAGUUAUUCAAGUUAAUAAAUAUGAUUUAUGUUAUAAAGACUAACUAAAAAAUAAUUUAUUAAUUAAACGGAUCCUGGUCAAUAAAAAUUUGAUUUAAAUACGAUCAUACUUAAUCAAAACUUAGGUCAAAUUGUAUUGAUAAAUUACAUCAAAACCUUGUUGUGUUCAAUAUUUUAUAUUAAACUAUUUUUUAAUAAAAUUAUUUUUAUAAAUAUAAUAUUACAUCAUUUGGAGAAACAAAAUAGUAUUAUAUUGAUUUUACAUAUAAAGCAACCAGUUAACCCCUCAUUAUUUUGAUCCAUUUCACAUCCAUAUCAUUCUCAUAAUUUUUUUAUAAUAUAUUAACAUGAUGGACGGUAAUUGAGGGUAGAAAAAAAAGAUGAGAAGAAUAAAAUAAUGUGAAUCCUCUCUAAAUGUUACAUCUUCUGACAAAUGAAGUCUAUAGAAAUGUGUAAAAAAAAAAAAAACACUUAAUUGUGAGGUUCACUUGAUUUAGCAAAAAAUUAAUAUUUUAUUUGUUGUGUGAUUUAAAAAUAAUAUUUUAUUUUUAAAAAUAAAAAAUUAUUUUUAAAGUUUUUUAACACUAUUUUACUAUUGUUCUUUGAAAUAAUUUUUAAAAUUAAAAUGAAAUAACUAAUAAUUUUUAGAUAAUAAAUUAAAGUUGUUUUUAUUAGAUUUUAAAAAUAAAAGAAAAAUAUAAAACCAUUUGAUCAAAUUUUUUUAAACUUAUUUUUAAAAGGUUUUUUUUUUUUUUUUUUUUUUUCUAUCCUAAGUUAAAAGAUAAAAAAUAAUUUUUAAAGAUAGGUUACGAGCAAAUGCCACAAACUUUUUUCUUCUCUUUCCCUUGUUCGGAUAGAAGUGAAAAAUAUCCUCCCAUGGAUCGACAUUACGUGAGCCAUCACCAUUCCCCAACUGCAAUUCAACCGCCAAAGCUGAGGUGUCAUUAUUAGUUUGAACAAAAGUCAGCAUUGUCCACGUGGUGACAAGCGGAACUGACCCAACUUGCAAGGCAAAAAAAUAAAUAAAAUAAAAUGAAAAAAUCAGAUCACCAUUAUGACGUCAGUCCAAUUGCUGACCUGGCCGCCGUCCCCCAUUUGACCCACGUGUUCAUUUAACCCAUUCGCCGUAUGCCGUGGCUCCCCACCCAUAUGGCCAUAUCUGCCAUUUAUUUUAUCCGUUGCCUCCAUUCGGUUUUUGGAUUUUACCCAUUCGCCCUCGUCUAUUCCCAUUUCCGUAUUUGCCCACCAAGGAAAUUCAAUUCCCAUGCUUUUGUUUUACAUUCAAAUCCUCCCCCCUCUAUAUAAAGGAGGGAGUAGGGCUUGAAAGUUUCUCAAGCCAACAUGGACUGUUGAGAGUGAAAGACAGAGGAGCCACAAACAAAUAUCACUCACUCAAACCAAAGCCAAAACCAAUACCGAAUUCAAUUCAAAUGACUUCUUUCUCUCUCAUCAAUUCCCUGAAUUCCGAUUCCGAUUUCAAUUUGUUAUCGGAUUCUUUUUCCUGGGAAAACUCCCUACCUUUCAAUGAAAACGACUCCCAGGAGAUGCUCCUCCUGGGCAUGCUGGCCAGCUCCACUCAGGAAACCUCAGAAACAGUUUCUUUGAAUCGAGUGAAGGAGGAAGAAGUGACUUCCCAGGAAAAUCCCGAGAAGGAGAAGUCAUACAGAGGCGUUAGGAGGCGGCCAUGGGGGAAAUUCGCAGCAGAAAUAAGGGACUCGACCAGGCAUGGCAUAAGGGUGUGGCUGGGAACAUUUGACAGUGCAGAGGCAGCUGCUCUGGCCUAUGAUCAAGCUGCUUUUGCGAUGCGGGGCCCUGCGGCAGUCCUCAAUUUCCCGGUGGAAAGAGUGAAGGAAUCGAUGCAGGAGAUCAAGUGCAUCUUGGAGGAGGGGGGCUCACCAGUGGUGGCCCUCAAGAAGAGGCACUCUAUGCGGAGAAAAAGUCCUUGCAAGAAACAUAAAAGUGAAGAGGUGAGGUUAGAAAAUGUGGUAGUGCUGGAGGAUUUGGGUACUGAAUACUUGGAACAGCUCCUCACUUUCUCUGAGACCUCUAGUCCUUGAUCAUCAUCAUCCAUCACCUGGAUAGCUUCUUCUCUUUGCUCUGUUUCUUACUUUUCUCUCUCUCUCUCUCUCUCUCUCUCUUUUUUUUUUAUGUAAUUUUUCUUAAUGUAUUUUUGGAGAUGGCGGGGGUGUAGUGGUGGCAAUUAUCCAUCUAGAAUUUUUCAAAAGAUAUGUUCUUUUGUUUCUUUGUAUAAAGUUGAAAAGUGGGGAUCAAUUGUGAUGGUGCUCUAUGUUCAUCCACCCAAUUUAUAUAAUCAAGGUGAUUAAUGUUUUUUGAUAUCAACAAUUUGUGAAUGACAUAGAGAGAGAGAGAGAGAGAGACCUUAUUUUCUACACUCAUUACGGUGGUUUCCAUUUGGGGAAGGAAAAGGAAAUGGCUAAGAAUGUUACCAAAAGAAGUGGGGUGGCUUUCAUAUGCGUGGUGGCAUACUUGCAUACAAACUUUUCAAUUGUGUUCUGCAUGCCACUCGGGUCAAUUUCAUUUCUUUUACUCCUAGUAGCCUAAUUGGAUUUCCUUUUUCUCAUGAGACAUCAAAUAAAUUUCAUUUUUUUAUAUUUAAAUAGUUAGGUAAGUUUGAUAGUGAGUUAUAUUUUAUACAUUAAUUCAUCUUUUAGAAUGUUGUCUACAAUAUAAACAGUGUAAUUAAUUUCAUCAUUACAGAACAGUCAUCUUAUAAAAUAACAUAAAAAUUAUUGGAUCACUUGUAUGGCACCACUGAUUUGGACUUGGUAUGGCUCUGUUUGGCUUCAUAGAAAAAAUUUGGACCCAAUUUGAAUGUCUUGCAUAAAAAGAGAUACGUCCCACUUUGAAUGAUAUUGAAGAAAAAAAUUUCUGAUGAAGAAUAUAUUGUUGGCAGGGUCAUGCAGGCCAAUAGGGAAACGAUAAAUUCAGAAGAAUGAGUCCAAACCAGUGGGCUUGAAAAUUAAGAAGAGAAUUGCUGUAUAAAACAAUCAUUUCUUAAUCGAGUUCACUUUCUGAAUAAUCGUCACUUUGAGAAUGCAUACUUAGGAAGAUGAUGAUCCUUAAUGGGAAUAAUCAAAGGCAUCAAAAAAUUGUUCUGGAACAAUUCUUGAUUGUCUCCAGUAAAAUUCAAAGUCAAAAGUCAAAAGUCCAGUCGGUCAACACCAAACCAGGCCAGUCCAAAAGACAUUAAUUUGCAAUCUAGAAUCUAUGAUGAGGUGGCGAAAUCAAACCUUGGCUUUUCACCAGGGAAUGGUACUCUGAAUUUGGUCAGUUCACUGUUUCGAGUGAAUAGGGUGUAGUAAUUAGUAAAUCAUAUUUUAGAUUUGUGUCACAAGUUACAAGGGAUAUGGGCUGACGUUCAAUUUUGGCGACAAUUUGUGGGCCCGUAUAUUUGUUGAGAUGUGGAAAUUGGGUGUGUGCUUUUUUCUGCUACCACAUAAAUAUAUUUCUUUGAAUUGAAGAGUGUUUCAGACCAUUUUUUUUCAAGUCACAAAUGGACAACUGAUUGAGAUUGUAUUGGUGAGAGUAGGAGUUUAUUUUGGGCUGGUUGAGCGAAGUUGAAAGUCGAGUUGGACCUAACCCUUGAAUUCAGCAGACUACAGUCCGAUCCUGUAUUUUGGAUUUAGGGAACCUUCUUUCCCAGAAGCUUCGUCUGGGUUUUAAAGUCUAAAUGUGGCUACUCUUAAACAUUGGAGAAAGGAUGAGCGUUCACAAGCAAAUGGGUAAUUGUGGAUGGUUCAAGGACCUGGCCAGCUGGUCUUCAAGUUUGGAUGCCGGUUUGGGCCUGAGAGAGUCUUUGCAAAGUGACUUCACUUCAGCCUAUGAGAUCAAGAUAUCAUGGUGAUGUCCGAUCACUUAGGUUUCAUUUUCACCUCGGAUUACCGUUACCAUGUUCAUGAAUAAAAAUAAAUAAAUAAAUGAAGCCUUAUAGAGAAAUUAAUGAAGUGAGCUAUACAAGCAACUGGGCCAGGAGCCUACAAGGCAGAAAUUCCCUGCCCUAGACUAGGCCGAAUAAAUUAGAUGAAUGAAUUGGGGAAACCUGGGCCAGCCACACAUCCUCCUGAAGGCUGAUGUCGAACUCGCUUACGAGGAAUGGACAUGGGAGAUUGGGCUGGGACCAAAUAACCAAUUGACAGCCCUAUCCUUGUGGCAAGACGUCAGUAAAAUGGUUCAUUCUGAUUUUACGCUGCCAUUCAAUUUAAUUUUAAUUUUUGUUUAAAGCGAUGUACAAAUUGAAUGGUGUCUAGUCACUUAAAGAGUGGUUCAUAAUACACUUAAUUUAAACAAAAAAGAAAUUAUUAGAUAGGGGAUUCUCCAAUAAAAACCACCCCAUCUUGUCAGCAAGUCCGGAAACUUCCUUCACUUAGGGCGUAUUUGUUUUUUUAACUUUAAUAUUAAAGAAAGUUGGUUAAACCUUAUGACACUUUUAUAUUAUUUUAUGAAUUUUUUUUAAUUUUUAUUUUAAUGGAAUUUUAACUUUAAUACAAGUUGGAGUAAUUCUUAUCUUAAAAACAAAUCAAAAUUACUUUAAUUUUAUAUAGAAAUAAACUUACAGUAAAUUUACCAUGAAAAUUUCUAAGUCAAAUACACCAUAAGUGCUAGUAUUUUAUAAUAUUUAGAAACAUGUUAAAUUAUUAUUAUUAUUUUUUAAAAUUAUUAGUUUUCAUAUUAGUUUUAGGGAAACUUGUGCUUUAGGUCUUUUAUUUGCAAAUAAUAUGGUUUUCAAAUCCUAAGAAUAGAAAAUAUGAGAAUCAACUGUUAAUGUGGAAAAUAAUAUCAAUUUUGUGCAAUCUCUAUUGACUCAUUUUUUUGUGCCUAGAUUGCCUUCACCCACUUCCAUGUCAACAACCACAUUAAUAGAUUGUUUUUUUUUUAUAAAACAAAUAAUUAUUAUGUUUAAAAUUUUGGGGAAACUCUCUAUCUCUCUUACUUCUUCACUACAUCCGAGACCCAUCUUCCUUAAACGUUUGCCUCUCAUUUUGCCCUAACCCCAAAUCUCAUAAAUUUCUCAUUUUCUUGCCUCAUUUGAAAUAUGAAGAUGACCGAUUCUCAAACAUCUCUGUCUCUCUCUUCACGUUUUGACCAGUCUAAUUGGAAACCCAUUUUCCAAAAACCUUCUUUCUUUCAUUUUGCCCUAACCCCACUAUCUCCCUCUUCAAGACCUAAUCACCCAAACUCGAUAUCUAUCUUCCCAAAACCUUCAAGCAAACUGAACUAGACCCAUAUCUUCUUUUUUCAUCAUCAAAGGUGAAAUUUUUUUAAGGCUUUUGGAAACCGAAUUGGAGCUUUCCCUUCUUCUGGGAUUAAUCAUUCGCAAGUGAGUUUUCCAUUUAAGGCUUUGUUUGGCUGUUGAAAUCUUGGGAUCAAAGGUCUUUUAUUUUCAGGUUUCUUGUAUUUUGCUUUAUUUUCUUGUAUAUAACAAUAAUCAUUGUAACAUAUGCUAGUAGUUACCCUUGGUGCAACUUUACAUUUCCAAAUACCCUAAAGUCCAAAGCUUUUAAUUCCCUUUUCAAAGCUUUCAACUUUGAAAGCAGACUAAACCAUAAGAACUAUGAAACUUAUAUCUCUAUCACCACUAAUUAAGCAUGUCUAUGAAUCCUUCCACUUUAAGUCACUUAUUCUCAAACCAAGAAGGGCUCCUCUCAUUCUCACCCCACCUCAUCUAAAUGAGGGAAAUGAUCAAUUGCAGCCAUGCUUUGCACCAAAUUAGAGAAGUGAUCCUCCCAAUCAUCCAUUACCAAAAAUUGAUCAUGCUGAUGAGAUCAUAAGAGUCUAUUCGGAACUCCCAGUUUACUUGCCUCUUAUCUCAGGAUCCUCCAUUACCCCCUGUCUUUCCAACAUCAAAUCAACUUGCAAACAAUUCCUUUGUAGAUAAAAUGUUUUUAAUAUUGCAAAAGGGGACUUAUCAUAAUGGUUGAAUCGAUUUAUUUGAUAUAAUCACUCAAAUUCAAGCUUAAAAUUGAUCAUAAUAAAAUGUUUUUAAUAUUGUUAAAAGGAGAUUAUAAUGGUUUUAUUUGAUAUCAUUACUAAAAUUCAAGCUUUCAAACAUGCUCUACAAAGAAGUUCUAAAAGACUACAAGAAAGAGUUUCCACUAAAGAAAAACAAUGAAACCAUUUCUACUAAAGACAAACAAUGAAACCACAGAUGCUUUGUGAAAUAUGUACCCGCACAAUCCAACAAACUUUAGAAAUUCACAAACACUACCUAGAAUUUUUGCUGACCAGCAAAAAAUUUAUGCAAUUUAAUUCUUAUUGUUAUUAUUAUUUUCAAUGUGAACAAAUAUGAUUGAAUUAUGAAGUAUUUGGCCAGAAGAGGAUCUUGCCUAAUUAUAGUCAUUAAACAACCAUUUAUACCAUAGCCUCUAGACUUUAAAAAGUUUAUAAAACUCAAGGGCUUCCACCCAAUUUCUAGAUAUCUCCAUAACAUUCUUCUGACUAUUAGAAAGCAAUUACCACUUUAAUUUUUCAUUUCAUGAGUGUUCAAUUCAGAAAAAGACCAGGAUCGAACUUGCGAUCAUGCAGUCGAAAAUCCACCUGUGCAUGAAACUAUUGCCUCACGAUUGCAAACUCAAGUUGGAGUCCAGUAACAACUCUAGGUUUGCUGAUGUGCUCCAUUUGAAAUAAAGGAACUAAAGAAUACUUUAUAAAGAUUAAUUACCUUCAUAUUUUAGGUUGGGGUUAAGGCAAAAUGUGAUAGAUUGAGAGGAAGAAAAUAUAUCUUGUUCAGGAAGCCAAUAUUUUGGAGUUCACCUUUCCAUUCGAGUCCACUCUGCUAUAGCAAAAUCAGAGUCACAACUAUGCCUCUUUAAGCUAUCCUUUAAUUGGAUGAAUUGCAGAUUUGGUUGCUGAGAAAGUGGAUAAGAAAGAAAAAUGCAUACUGUAGCUUGAGAUUAAGAGUUUGUUUUCUAAAAUGAGAGAAAGGGAAAGAGAAAAAAUGCAUAUUGUAGCUUGAGAUUAAGGGUUUGUUUUCUAAAAUGAGAGAAAGGGGAAGAGAAAUGUUCGACAACUUUGAGAUGACAAAUUUUUAGAUUUGGAAAAUUUGAGAUGAGUCUCAGGUUUUUUUUUUUUUUUUUUUGUCUUUGUCUUUGUUUUUUUUUUUUUUUUUUGUUUUUUUCCCAAAAACAACCUGUUAAUGUGGUUGUUGACAUAGAAGUGGGUGAGGGCAAAAUGGGCAUAGAAAAAAGAGUCAACACAAAGUGCACAAAACCCAUAUUAUUUUCCACAUUAAUGACUGAUUCUCAUAUUUCUUGUUCUUGGGAUUUGAAAACCAUAUUAUUUGCAAAUGGACCUCCCAAAGCACAGGUUUCCCUUAGUUUUAUGUCUCCAUCUACAUUUUACAUAUAAAUAGAUUAUUUUAUAAAAUUUGUUUUGUAGAUAUAUUAGUUAAUAAUUAUAUAAUUAAUGAUAUAGAAAACAUAUAAAAAUCAUAUUUAAAAAAGAUAAUUACAUAUUCCUCAACAAUCCAUCCCAAGAAUUCGAGGUUGAGUUGAAAACAUGUAGAGUCUUUGAUGUUAUUAUAAUCAUAUCCAACACAUAUGAUUAUUGUUUAUGAGAUAUUAUUAGAAAGUUUGUCUUAAAAUAAUUGAUUUAUUACCCACCUUUAGCAAAUGCCCAUUUUUGCGUCUUUCAAAAUUUUCAUUUUUUUUUUGUUUAAAAGAAGUAUUGUAAAGAAUGAUGAAAUAAGAAAUUUGUUGAGAAAGUGUGAGUAAAUAAUUUUACAUAAAAAGAGAUUUAAUACUUGAUAAAUAAAAUAAUAAAAUCAUGAUUUCUAGUUGUAUAGGGCCGGGUGGAUGGAGUGGCUAAGAUGUAAUUCUUGAAAUAGAGGAGACAACAUCAAUGUAUAAAAGUUUAACAGAGAAGGAAAGUGUGUUUGAAUGACUUUAUUUUCUUCAUUUAAAGUUUUGACGAUGAGUGUUUAUACAAGAUAAAUUUUCAAAUGAUAGGACUCCUAUUUACAUGGAGUUUGUGAUAUACUAUGAUUAUACAAAUUUAAAAUUCAAACAGAUUCAUGAGUUGAUAGGAGUCUGCUCAAUACGCCCCUUCAAAAUGGUGGGAGAUAGCACACCAAUCUUGACUCGAAGGGCCUAAACUCGUGCAGAAGAUGAGGGCUUUGUUAGAGCAUCGACAAGUUGAUCCGUGGUUGACAUAUGGGACACCUUGAGCUCACCUGAUUAAACCUUGUUUCAAACAAAAUGAAAAUCAAUCGCCGAUGUGUUUCAUGGAGAGUGAAACAUGGGAUUUGCACAAAGAUAUGUUGCACCCACGUUAUCACAAGAGAUAGGAGGUGGUGAUAAAUUUGAAACACUAAGUUUUGAGAGAAGAGAAUUAACCCAAAGAACCUUUGAGGCUGUAGAGGCCACGACGUGAUAUUUCGCUUCAGUGGAAGAGCGUGCUAUGAACUUUUGUUUCCUCGAUGACCAAUACACAAGAUUGUGACCAAGAAAAACAAUGGGAGCAUUGGUGGAGGAUCUGACAUAAGGAUUCCUUGCCCAUUCAACAUUCGAAUAUGCAUGUAGAUUGAUGGGCGAUUUCUUAUGCAAGAACAGACCAUGCACCAUUGUGCCGACUAAGUAUCUAAGCAAUCUUUUAACACAAGACCAAUGUGUUGAUGUUGGAUGGUGCAUAAAUUGAGAUAAUUUAUUCAUCAAGAAGGUGAUGUCAGGGCUAGUAAGAGAGAAGUAUUGAAGGCUUCCAACAAUUGACAUAUAUUUAGUGGGACCAGGAAAAGAGGUGUCAUCACACAGAUUUGGAACAUUGUUGAGGAACAUCAAUGAUUGAACUGGUUUGGUAGCCACCAUUUGUGUUUUCUUAAGAAGCUCUCGAAUGUACUUGAGAUAAAAAUAAUCCUUUGGAAGUAUGUAUCAUUUCAACACCAAGAAUAAAAGAUGAAGUCCUGAGAUCCUUAAUGGAGAAUUUGACUGCUAAUUGAGAGAUCACGCGAGCACGAAAAACAUUAUUGUUACUUGUUAAAAUAAGAUCAUCAAUAUAAAUAAGUAGGUAAACAAUGAGACCACUCUUUUUAAAAAUGAAGAGGGAUGUCUCGGUUUAGGAGUUGACGAAGGCUAUUGAGAGGAGAAAUUGGCAAAGUUCAUGAUACCAUGAUCGUGGAGCUUGUUUAAAGCCAUAAAAAGCCUUACAAAGUUGGCAAAUGUGAUGAUGUGUGUAUUCGUGAACCCAGGAGGUUGAAUCAUGUAAACAUCUUCAUGAAGUGUCCUAUGCUAGAAUGCAUUAUUAAUGUCCAAUUCAUGAGUUGAUAGGAGUCUGCUCAAUACAAUGUGGGAGUGUGAUUUCAAAAUUAGGGUAAUUUCGAAAUGGAUUUUGUAUUCACAAGUUGAAUUUCAAAAUUAUUUUGAAAUGGUCUUUUAACUUUAAGCAGUUGUGUUCAAAAGGUCAUAACUUCUUCGUUUCAAUUUUGAUUUACACAUUGUUUAAAACAUUGGACUCUUUACUUCCCGAGCUUCAAAACGAUAUAUAGUAUGCUCAAAAAUGACAUCAGGAUUGGUUCAAAUUUCAUCUUGAUAUUAGAGUACAUGUUGUGAUUAGAUUUUGAGUUCCAAAUUUCCAUGUAAACUUGAUUGCAUUUGCUUCAAACCUCCUUCAUUAUGGUUGCUUGCCCUCUAUCUCACUUUGCAACAUUUGUUACUAGUAUUUUAUGUCCAUGACUUACUCAUUUCAACCUUUCUUGGAUUCUUCAUGGUUCACAAAUUAUGGAUUCUUCAUGGUUCACAAAUUGAGUCUUUCAAUUAUGCAUGUUUAACUCCUAUUUCCUUGGUUGAUAAUGACUUUUACACUUAUCAUUUUCUUUUAUUCUUUAAACCUGAAUUUAGACUUACAAAAAAAAGUUAGAUCCAUAACUAGGGUCUUAGCAUCAAUUUGAGUUAAGUUGGAUGAUUUGAAAAUUUUAUAUUACAUAAAUCAUAUCAUACAUGUGCCAUUGGAGUGCACAUUUUGGCUCUAAUCAUGUUCCAACCCAUUGUUUUACUCUUGCAUGAAGUAUGUGGCCAUUGAUUUUAAUUUUAUUUGCGAUUAGGUUCAAAAUGGUGCUUUUGUGUUGCUCAUGUGUCAUCAGAAGAUCAACUAAUGGAUUCUCUAACAAAACUACUACAUCAUAGUCAUUUUUUUUUUUCUUAAGACCAAGAUUGAGAUCUCCAAUCGGAGCCAACUCCAUCUUGGGGGCAUGUUAGUGAAAGAUAAAAUUUAUCUUUAAUUUAAAUAUUAAUAUUUAUCAGUUAUUAGUUUUAAUUAGAGUAAAAGAUAGAGUUUAAAUUGGAGUAGGAGAUAAACUUGUGUUUGAACUAGAAUAGAAGAUAAAGUAUAAAGAUUUAUGUUUGAAUUAGAAUAAAAUAUAAAGUUUGAAUUAGAGUAGAAGAUAAACUUGUUCUUUAUUUGUAUAUAAAUAUUCAUCAAUUCUUGAGAAGAAGAUUAUUUCAUAGUUUUUCUAUCUUCUUUUUUCUUCAUACAUAUCUGCAAGAAAUUGAAGAUUUCAAGUAAAAUAUUUUCUGUUUUAAAUAGUGAAAAAAGCUAGAAAUUCACUUUGUUAUCUCUUGGGGUAAAUUGACAAGGUUUAACGUUAAGAAGGUGAAUUAUUUUUUCAGAAAAACUGAAGUAGCUAGGAUAUCUGGCCAGUUGUGAUCGAUAAAAAAGUUGUAAAAUCUCUCAUAUACUAAACAGGUUUUGGAUGUUGGUAUGGUAAAUCCAUCUGCAGUCAUUCGUCAUCUCAUCUAGUGAGAUGUUUGGGAGGUGGUGACCGCCGGAUUGGGUUUCAUUUGGUUAAAUCUGUCAGUGGGUUGGCUACUACCCGAGCCUCUUGCUUUGGGGGAGGUGGGUUCUAGAUAUAAUGUUCAAACCAUUUUAGUUAUCAUAUGCAUGACAUGUAAGCAUAAUCUCUUUAUCACUUCUUCAAUGGGAGUUCAUGGUUAGGAAUUGACUUCUUUUCUUCUGGGAUGCUUGGCAUGUAAUGGACAAAGUUACUUUUAUAUCGAUCGAAUUUCUAGUAUUAUAGUGAAGACUUACCCUUUUGACAUUUUAUAUCGAAUUAUAGAAGAUGAAAGGGACAUACAUGCAAUCGACUGACGCUUUAGUGAAUAUGCUGAAAAUAUGCUGAUGCUGUGGAGAUCGUAUGAGGACAGAGGAAAAAGAUAGAAAUGGAUAUAUAAUUAGACCUAGGUUUUUAUUAAAUGAGAUGGGGAACAUAGAGUGAGGGAAAAUCAAAAUUUUUGGCUGCAGUUCACAUUGGUGAUAUUUUGGAUUGACAAAGACUAACGACUUUUCUAUUUUUCUUUUCGGCCUGACUGGAUAGUUGGACAUGGACAAUACAGAAUCCACAGAAGGAUUGUUGGGACCGCUGAAAAUUAGCUAGAAGAAGCUGAGGAAGUAGUCUACGUAGUCAAAUACCAAACACAAAGAAAGAAAGAAAUGGAUAUCAUGGAUGCCUAGAGUUAUACUCCUAAUACCGUCACAGGUAUUUUUCUUUCCUCCUUUUUUUUUCUACGAUAAUUAGAGCAUUUCUCCUCCUCCUCCUCCUCCUCCCCCCACCCCACCACCAAAAAAUAAAAAAAUAAAUUAUUGCAAGUAACACUUCAAAUAUUAAUUUAUACAUUCUAAAGUAUAUAUUCAUGAAAUAACUUGAGUAUCAUACAUUAGUUCUCAAAAAAAAAAAAAAAAAAAAAAAAAAAUUACUGGAAGAGAAAAGUUUAAGAAAACAUAAAAAUAUUCAACUACUAUUUUAAAGAGAAAAUUUAAUUUUUACACUAUAAAUUUGAAGAGAACUUUUACAUGCAUCUUAUAUAAACUACCAUUUUUUGCUAAAAGGCUUAAAUUUGUCAAAAAUACCCCUUAGGUGCUUAACGUUCUGGUCAUAAUAUAAUUGGCAUCUUUUCUCAAACAUAAGGCCUGUGUGUGGGAACAAGAUUUAAUGUUAAUGAGCUUCGCCACCGACAUUUAGUUCCAGAAAUCAUUAUUUUAAUAGAGUGGGCUCAAUUUACAACUUUAAUUAAACUCUAACCAACUGCAUUGUGAAAUGAAUAUGUUUCUUUCGUGGUGAAUCCAAUGAGUUGGGAGUCAAACUUUGCUUCAUUGUGUAUAGAUGAAAUGUUAAGACUCCAUGUAACCUCAAACAUUUCCGCAAUNNNNNNNNNNNNNNNNNNNNNNNNNNNNNNNNNNNNNNNNNNNNNNNNNNNNNNNNNNNNNNNNNNNNNNNNNNNNNNNNNNNNNNNNNNNNNNNNNNNNUUCUUUCGUGGUGAAUCCAAUGAGUUGGAGUCAAACUUGCUUCAUUGUGUAUAGAUGAAAUGUUAAGACUCCAUGUAACUCAAACAUUUCCGCAAUGAGCGGGAGUUCUAAAUUUAAUAAUUGAAAUUGUCAGUGGAACCAGUGGACAAGAGUUGGUUUGUGGUUGACAAACUUAUCCGUUUGAUCUUUACUUGAACAGUUCCAGUGUGUGGAUGGGUACUGAUGAAGUGUGCGCAUUUAUUUUGAGAAGCCUGCUUGUUCGCAUAGAUUUUAACGACAUGAACAUUGUGGUAAGGUUAGAGAGUAAUGCGAAUGUAGGAGCUUAUAUUAGAAAUGACACAAACACGUAAAUAGAAGUAAUCUAUAUAUGAUAUUACUCAUGGACUACAAGCAAAGAAGUACAAUACAUGGAGUAAGUGAUGAAAUGAGCAUUCCUCACUACUACUGCUUGACUGAUGGAACAUGAUGCACGAGAUAGCAUAAGUAGUAGUAGGAAGCAGCUCUUAUUUGUGGCGUCGGUAUACAUCAUACUAGGUAGAUGGUUCAAUUGGCAUGGAUGGGUGGUGGAGCCUUGAAGUGCUUGUGAUGGGGAGCCCACGGCUUCUUCUCAGGAGUUGGUGGCUUCUUGUAUGGAGUUGAUGGAGGUGUUUCUACUGGAGGGUGGCCAGGGUAGUGACCCUGGGGUGGUGAAGGUUCUUUUGUCGGUGGUGGCCUCACUAUUAUUGGCGGUAGAGUUGGUGGCUUGGGCGUUGGCGGUGGUCUCACUACUCUUGGGGGUAGAGUUGGUGUCUUGUGUUUUGGUGGUGGAGGUGGCUUAACAGGAGUUGGUGGCUUGUAUUCUGGGGGUGGUUUCUCCACCGGAGGUGGCUUAUAAACUGGAGUUGGUGGCUUGUAUUCUGGGGGUGGCUUCUCCACUGGUGGUGGCCUGUAAACAGGGGUUGGUGGCUUAUAUUCUGGGGGAGGCUUCUCCACUGGAGGCGACUUAUAAACAGGGGUUGGUGGCUUGUAUUCCGGGGGUGGCUUCUCUACGGGAGGUGGCCUGUAAACAGGGGUUGGUGGCUUCUCCACCGGAGGUGGCUUAUAAACGGGGGUUGGUGGCUUGUAUUCUGGGGGUGGUUUCCCCAGUGGUGGAGACUUGUAAACAGGAAGAGGUGGUUUGUGCUCAUAUGGGGGUGGCUUGUGGUCAUUAGCAAGUGAGGGAGUGGUGAGGACCACCAAUCCAAGGAACAACACGAGUGAGCAAGCAGAAGACAU